Molecule: ribosomal RNA, 448 nt
Filed under: uncultured bacterium
Lineage: Bacteria
Description: bacterial SSU rRNA
Rfam family: Bacterial small subunit ribosomal RNA
Source: RNAcentral
UAGGGAAUUUUCCACAAUGGGCGAAAGCCUGAUGGAGCAACGCCGCGUGCAGGAUGAAGGUUUUCGGAUCGUAAACUGCUUUUAUGUGCGAAGAAUAUGACGGUAACACAUGAAUAAGGGUCGGCUAACUACGUGCCAGCAGCCGCGGUCAUACGUAGGACCCAAGCGUUAUUCGGAAUUACUGGGCGUAAAGAGUUGCGUAGGUGGCAAGUUAAGUGGGUAGUGAAAUUGUGUGGCUCAACCAUACACACAUUACCUAAACUGGCUAGCUAGGGUGUGAUAGAGGUAACUGGAAUUCCAAGUGUAGGAGUGAAAUCCGUAGAUAUUUGGAGGAACACCGAUGGCGUAGGCAGGUUACUGGAUCACAACUGACACUGAGGCACGAAAGCGUGGGGAGCAAACGGGAUUAGAUACCCAAGUAGUCCCUGAGCGGGCUGGCAAGGCGCAU